Molecule: ribosomal RNA, 254 nt
Filed under: uncultured bacterium
Lineage: Bacteria
Description: partial 16S ribosomal RNA
Rfam family: Bacterial small subunit ribosomal RNA
Source: RNAcentral
UACGAAGGGGGCUAGCGUUGCUCGGAAUCACUGGGCGUAAAGCGCACGUAGGCGGAUCUUUAAGUCAGGGGUGAAAUCCUGGAGCUCAACUCCAGAACUGCCUUUGAUACUGAGGAUCUUGAGUCCGGGAGAGGUGAGUGGAACUCCGAGUGUAGAGGUGAAAUUCGUAGAUAUUCGGAAGAACACCAGUGGCGAAGGCGGUUCUCUGGGCAUGUCCUGACGCUGAGGAGCGAAAGUGUGGGGAGCGGAACAGG